Molecule: ribosomal RNA, 3480 nt
Filed under: Drosophila melanogaster (fruit fly)
Lineage: Eukaryota; Metazoa; Arthropoda; Insecta; Diptera; Drosophilidae
Description: eukaryotic LSU rRNA
Rfam family: Eukaryotic large subunit ribosomal RNA (bases 573-3480)
Source: RNAcentral
ACUCUAAGCGGUGGAUCACUCGGCUCAUGGGUCGAUGAAGAACGCAGCAAACUGUGCGUCAUCGUGUGAACUGCAGGACACAUGAACAUCGACAUUUUGAACGCAUAUCGCAGUCCAUGCUGUUAUGUACUUUAAUUAAUUUUAUAGUGCUGCUUGGACUACAUAUGGUUGAGGGUUGUAAGACUAUGCUAAUUAAGUUGCUUAUAAAUUUUUAUAAGCAUAUGGUAUAUUAUUGGAUAAAUAUAAUAAUUUUUAUUCAUAAUAUUAAAAAAUAAAUGAAAAACAUUAUCUCACAUUUGAAUGUGAAAAACGAAGAGAAAUAUUUUCUUUUUCAAUCAAAUAAUACUGAGAAAUGUCUAGCAUAAAAAAUUGAAAUAUUUUUCAUCUAGAAUUGUCUCUUAUUAAUGAUUCGGAAAUAGAAAAAUCUUGGUUAUGUUAUUAUUCUUCGUUGGUUCGUUAAAAAUGGAUAAAUAAAAACUUUGCAUACAAGAAUUAAUAAAAAUGUUAUAACGAAUUUAAUUAAAUGUUUUAUCAUUAUAUAUAAAGAAUUUAUGGCAAGAUAAAGUUAUAUACAACCUCAACUCAUAUGGGACUACCCCCUGAAUUUAAGCAUAUUAAUUAGGGGAGGAAAAGAAACUAACAAGGAUUUUCUUAGUAGCGGCGAGCGAAAAGAAAACAGUUCAGCACUAAGUCACUUUGUCUAUAUGGCAAAUGUGAGAUGCAGUGUAUGGAGCGUCAAUAUUCUAGUAUGAGAAAUUAACGAUUUAAGUCCUUCUUAAAUGAGGCCAUUUACCCAUAGAGGGUGCCAGGCCCGUAUAACGUUAAUGAUUACUAGAUGAUGUUUCCAAAGAGUCGUGUUGCUUGAUAGUGCAGCACUAAGUGGGUGGUAAACUCCAUCUAAAACUAAAUAUAACCAUGAGACCGAUAGUAAACAAGUACCGUGAGGGAAAGUUGAAAAGAACUCUGAAUAGAGAGUUAAACAGUACGUGAAACUGCUUAGAGGUUAAGCCCGAUGAACCUGAAUAUCCGUUAUGGAAAAUUCAUCAUUAAAAUUGUAAUAUUUAAAUAAUAUUAUGAGAAUAGUGUGCAUUUUUUCCAUAUAAGGACAUUGUAAUCUAUUAGCAUAUACCAAAUUUAUCAUAAAAUAUAACUUAUAGUUUAUUCCAAUUAAAUUGCUUGCAUUUUAACACAGAAUAAAUGUUAUUAAUUUGAUAAAGUGCUGAUAGAUUUAUAUGAUUACAGUGCGUUAAUUUUUCGGAAUUAUAUAAUGGCAUAAUUAUCAUUGAUUUUUGUGUUUAUUAUAUGCACUUGUAUGAUUAACAAUGCGAAAGAUUCAGGAUACCUUCGGGACCCGUCUUGAAACACGGACCAAGGAGUCUAACAUAUGUGCAAGUUAUUGGGAUAUAAACCUAAUAGCGUAAUUAACUUGACUAAUAAUGGGAUUAGUUUUUUAGCUAUUUAUAGCUAAUUAACACAAUCCCGGGGCGUUCUAUAUAGUUAUGUAUAAUGUAUAUUUAUAUUAUUUAUGCCUCUAACUGGAACGUACCUUGAGCAUAUAUGCUGUGACCCGAAAGAUGGUGAACUAUACUUGAUCAGGUUGAAGUCAGGGGAAACCCUGAUGGAAGACCGAAACAGUUCUGACGUGCAAAUCGAUUGUCAGAAUUGAGUAUAGGGGCGAAAGACCAAUCGAACCAUCUAGUAGCUGGUUCCUUCCGAAGUUUCCCUCAGGAUAGCUGGUGCAUUUUAAUAUUAUAUAAAAUAAUCUUAUCUGGUAAAGCGAAUGAUUAGAGGCCUUAGGGUCGAAACGAUCUUAACCUAUUCUCAAACUUUAAAUGGGUAAGAACCUUAACUUUCUUGAUAUGAAGUUCAAGGUUAUGAUAUAAUGUGCCCAGUGGGCCACUUUUGGUAAGCAGAACUGGCGCUGUGGGAUGAACCAAACGUAAUGUUACGGUGCCCAAAUUAACAACUCAUGCAGAUACCAUGAAAGGCGUUGGUUGCUUAAAACAGCAGGACGGUGAUCAUGGAAGUCGAAAUCCGCUAAGGAGUGUGUAACAACUCACCUGCCGAAGCAACUAGCCCUUAAAAUGGAUGGCGCUUAAGUUGUAUACCUAUACAUUACCGCUAAAGUAGAUGAUUUAUAUUACUUGUGAUAUAAAUUUUGAAACUUUAGUGAGUAGGAAGGUACAAUGGUAUGCGUAGAAGUGUUUGGCGUAAGCCUGCAUGGAGCUGCCAUUGGUACAGAUCUUGGUGGUAGUAGCAAAUAAUCGAAUGAGACCUUGGAGGACUGAAGUGGAGAAGGGUUUCGUGUGAACAGUGGUUGAUCACGAGUUAGUCGGUCCUAAGUUCAAGGCGAAAGCCGAAAAUUUUCAAGUAAAACAAAAAUGCCUAACUAUAUAAACAAAGCGAAUUAUAAUACACUUGAAUAAUUUUGAACGAAAGGGAAUACGGUUCCAAUUCCGUAACCUGUUGAGUAUCCGUUUGUUAUUAAAUAUGGGCCUCGUGCUCAUCCUGGCAACAGGAACGACCAUAAAGAAGCCGUCGAGAGAUAUCGGAAGAGUUUUCUUUUCUGUUUUAUAGCCGUACUACCAUGGAAGUCUUUCGCAGAGAGAUAUGGUAGAUGGGCUAGAAGAGCAUGACAUAUACUGUUGUGUCGAUAUUUUCUCCUCGGACCUUGAAAAUUUAUGGUGGGGACACGCAAACUUCUCAACAGGCCGUACCAAUAUCCGCAGCUGGUCUCCAAGGUGAAGAGUCUCUAGUCGAUAGAAUAAUGUAGGUAAGGGAAGUCGGCAAAUUAGAUCCGUAACUUCGGGAUAAGGAUUGGCUCUGAAGAUUGAGAUAGUCGGGCUUGAUUGGGAAACAAUAACAUGGUUUAUGUGCUCGUUCUGGGUAAAUAGAGUUUCUAGCAUUUAUGUUAGUUACUUGUUCCCCGGAUAGUUUAGUUACGUAGCCAAUUGUGGAACUUUCUUGCUAAAAUUUUUAAGAAUACUAUUUGGGUUAAACCAAUUAGUUCUUAUUAAUUAUAACGAUUAUCAAUUAACAAUCAAUUCAGAACUGGCACGGACUUGGGGAAUCCGACUGUCUAAUUAAAACAAAGCAUUGUGAUGGCCCUAGCGGGUGUUGACACAAUGUGAUUUCUGCCCAGUGCUCUGAAUGUCAAAGUGAAGAAAUUCAAGUAAGCGCGGGUCAACGGCGGGAGUAACUAUGACUCUCUUAAGGUAGCCAAAUGCCUCGUCAUCUAAUUAGUGACGCGCAUGAAUGGAUUAACGAGAUUCCUACUGUCCCUAUCUACUAUCUAGCGAAACCACAGCCAAGGGAACGGGCUUGGAAUAAUUAGCGGGGAAAGAAGACCCUUUUGAGCUUGACUCUAAUCUGGCAGUGUAAGGAGACAUAAGAGGUGUAGAAUAAGUGGGAGAUAUUAGACCUCGGUUUGGUAUCGUCAAUGAAAUACCACUACUCUUAUUGUUUCCUUACUUACUUGAU